GAUGAACGCUGGCGGCGUGCCUAAUACAUGCAAGUCGAGCGAACAGACGAGGAGCUUGCUCCUCUGACGUUAGCGGCGGACGGGUGAGUAACACGUGGAUAACCUACCUAUAAGACUGGGAUAACUUCGGGAAACCGGAGCUAAUACCGGAUAAUAUAUUGAACCGCAUGGUUCAAUAGUGAAAGACGGUUUUGCUGUCACUUAUAGAUGGAUCCGCGCCGCAUUAGCUAGUUGGUAAGGUAACGGCUUACCAGGGCAACGAUGCGUAGCCGACCUGAGAGGGUGAUCGGCCACACGGGAACUGAGACACGGUCCAGACUCCUACGGGAGGCAGCAGUAGGGAAUCUUCCGCAAUGGGCGAAAGCCUGACGGAGCAACGCCGCGUGAGUGAUGAAGGUCUUCGGAUCGUAAAACUCUGUUAUUAGGGAAGAACAAAUGUGUAAGUAACUAUGCACGUCUUGACGGUACCUAAUCAGAAAGCCACGGCUAACUACGUG
Molecule: ribosomal RNA, 497 nt
Filed under: uncultured bacterium
Lineage: Bacteria
Description: partial 16S ribosomal RNA
Rfam family: Bacterial small subunit ribosomal RNA
Source: RNAcentral